Cynara cardunculus var. scolymus (artichoke) is the source of this 730-nucleotide long non-coding RNA. RefSeq lists it as uncharacterized. The transcript has 3 exons. NCBI's taxonomy places the organism in Eukaryota, Viridiplantae, Streptophyta, Magnoliopsida, Asterales, Asteraceae. The record is from RefSeq and is a predicted model, not a curated record.
AAGCUGACUUCUAAUGGUUUGUAAUAUGACACAUUUGAAUUUAUGAAAUUGUUUGUGUUACCAACUUUGAAAAAUCAGAAAAAGAAAUAUUAUCACUGUCAAACAACAUAUAUCUGCAUUAAGUGGUUGUUUUCAUGGUUAAACAAUACUACAUGAUACCUUUUCAGUGUUAAAGCUAGCAAUUAUGUUUAAUUGGUUCCUCACUCUACUGCAAUGUUACACUUUGUUAUAUAUGCAGAAGCAUUCCCAAAAUAGUUGAAGCUUUGAGCAUGGAUGGAUCUAGUGGACAACAGAUAGAAUCCUCAAGGACUGACCCAUCCUCAGGGAAACUUUCGGUAUCACCUUCUGAUAGAUAUGCAGUUGUCCCGGAUGAAACUGUUCAAGCCAGGACUAAGGGAAAUGACGCUAGUGUCCCUGAGAACGACUUGAAGAGAAUCAGGCUCUGACUUUUGGAACUCCAAACUAACCGCACCCCGUGCCUGUAGCCUCCAAUCCAUGUUUGUUCCAUUUACCCUGCCACACACCAUAUCUGUUUCAAGGUUUAUCAUGGUGUCUGGAAAGGGACAUAUAUAUAUAUAAUAUAUUUGCUAUGACCUUAAAAGAGUUUGAAUAGUAAUUCCAUCGUAGUAUAGAUUUUGUGCAUGUUAUGUACCAUGUCAAAUAUGCUGGUGUAUUGUAUGAUGUUAUUAUCUAUUGCAUAACGACAAAGUCUUGAUGGUUGUGCUCCCUA